This 417-nucleotide ribosomal RNA is filed under the name uncultured bacterium. RNAcentral describes it as "bacterial SSU rRNA". It matches the Rfam family "Bacterial small subunit ribosomal RNA", at positions 769 to 1186 of the family's 1533-position model. The record is from RNAcentral.
UUAACCGGAUUAGAUACCCUGGUAGUCCACGCCGUAAACGAUGUCGACUUGGAGGUUGUGCCCUUGAGGCGUGGCUUCCGGAGCUAACGCGUUAAGUCGACCGCCUGGGGAGUACGGCCGCAAGGUUAAAACUCAAAUGAAUUGACGGGGGCCCGCACAAGCGGUGGAGCAUGUGGUUUAAUUCGAUGCAACGCGAAGAACCUUACCUGGUCUUGACAUCCACGGAAGUUUUCAGAGAUGGGAAUGUGCCUUCGGGAACCGUGAGACAGGUGCUGCAUGGCUGUCGUCAGCUCGUGUUGUGAAAUGUUGGGUUAAGUCCCGCAACGAGCGCAACCCUUAUCCUUUGUUGCCAGCGGUCCGGCCGGGAACUCAAAGGAGACUGCCAGUGAUAAACUGGAGGAAGGUGGGGAUGACGUA